RNAcentral lists this microRNA (22 nucleotides) under Bos taurus (domestic cattle). RNAcentral's name for it is "bta-miR-378d". Its record names the gene bta-miR-378d. Lineage: Eukaryota; Metazoa; Chordata; Mammalia; Artiodactyla; Bovidae. The record is from miRBase by way of RNAcentral.
CUGGACUUGGAGUCAGAAGACC